The sequence is a ribosomal RNA, 386 nucleotides long. It matches the Rfam family "Eukaryotic small subunit ribosomal RNA", at positions 585 to 972 of the family's 1831-position model.
CCAGCUCCAAGAGUCGUAUAUUAAAGUUGUUGCGGUUAAAAAGCUCGUAGUUGGACUUACGUUGAAGACGAUCUGGUCCCGGGGGUCAAACCUUGGAUCAAGACUGGGCGUCUCUCUUCGUAUAUUCUGGGGACACAAAACGGGGGCAACUCCGGUUCUCAGGGUUUACUUUGAAUAAAUUAGGGUGUUCAAAGCAGGCGAAAUCGCCUUGAAUACAUUAGCAUGGGAUAAUAGAAUACGACCUAUGGUCUACUCUUUUGGUUUCUAAGGCCAAGGUAAUGAUUAAUAGGGACAGUUGGGGUCGCUCAUACUCAGUGGUUAGAGGUGAAAUUCUAUGACCCACUGAAGAUGAACUAAUGCGAAGGCAUUCGACAAGGAUGUUUUCA